AGUCGUAUGGUCUAAUGGUUAUGAUUUCUCGUUCACAGAUAUGUGUACCUUGCCCCGAGAAGGUUCCGUGUUCGAUCCACGGUACGACUA
Molecule: transfer RNA, 90 nt
Filed under: Nemania serpens
Lineage: Eukaryota; Fungi; Ascomycota; Sordariomycetes; Xylariales; Xylariaceae
Description: tRNA-Val
Source: RNAcentral